AUUUUGGUGGUUUUGGGUAUGCUGAUAUUAAGCAUCAGCAAGGACAGAACCAAAGUGUUGUUAACCAAUAUUGACAAGGGGAAGGUUUCCUUUCACAUGUAUAUAUAUGAUUUGGAUCUUAAAAUAGGCCCUGAUGAUGAUAACAAUUAUCACUCUCAAGUAACUGAAGCUUAGUAGAUUUUAGGCAAAGCUUUUGUUCUGUUCAUUUGGAC
This 212-nucleotide unclassified non-coding RNA is filed under the name Hevea brasiliensis (rubber tree). Lineage: Eukaryota; Viridiplantae; Streptophyta; Magnoliopsida; Malpighiales; Euphorbiaceae. The record is from RNAcentral.